Dipodomys ordii (Ord's kangaroo rat) is the source of this 70-nucleotide non-coding RNA. The record is from Rfam. Lineage: Eukaryota; Metazoa; Chordata; Mammalia; Rodentia; Heteromyidae.
GGGAAGGUGGCUCAGUGGUAGAGUGCUUGCCUCGAAUGCAUGAAGCCCUUGGUUCAAUUCCUCAGUACCA